GGCGAGUGAAGCGGCAAGAGCUCAAAUUUGAAAUCUGGCCCCCUCGGGGUCCGAGUUGUAAUUUGCAGAGGAUGCUUCGGGUGCGGCCCCCGUCUAAGUGCCCUGGAACGGGCCGUCAUAGAGGGUGAGAAUCCCGUCUGGGACGGGGUGUCCGCGUCCGUGUGAAGCUCCUUCGACGAGUCGAGUUGUUUGGGAAUGCAGCUCUAAAUGGGUGGUAAAUUCAUCUAAAGCUAAAUACUGGCCGGAGACCGAUAGCGCACAAGUAGAGUGAUCGAAAGAUGAAAAGCACUUUGAAAAGAGAGUUAAAAAGCACGUGAAAUUGUUGAAAGGGAAGCGCUUGCGACCAGACUCGCCCGCGGGGUUCAGCCGGCAUUCGUGCCGGUGUACUUCCCCGCGGGCGGGCCAGCGUCGGUUUGGGCGGCCGGUCAAAGGCCUCCGGAAUGUAGUGCCCCUACGGGGGCACCUUAUAGCCGGGGGUGCAAUGCGGCCAGCCUGGACCGAGGAACGCGCUUCGGCACGGACGCUGGCAUAAUGGUUGCAAACGAC
This 546-nucleotide ribosomal RNA is filed under the name Aspergillus sulphureus. RNAcentral describes it as "eukaryotic LSU rRNA". It matches the Rfam family "Eukaryotic large subunit ribosomal RNA", at positions 88 to 648 of the family's 3401-position model. Lineage: Eukaryota; Fungi; Ascomycota; Eurotiomycetes; Eurotiales; Aspergillaceae. The record is from RNAcentral.